UCCGCGGUCGUCUAACUGGCAGGACAGCGCCCUUUGAAGGCGCGAAUCUUGGUUCGAAUCCCAGCUGCGGAA
Molecule: transfer RNA, 72 nt
Filed under: bacterium
Lineage: Bacteria
Also listed under: 5 other names
Description: tRNA-Gln
Rfam family: tRNA
About the family: Transfer RNA (tRNA) molecules are approximately 80 nucleotides in length. Their secondary structure includes four short double-helical elements and three loops (D, anti-codon, and T loops). Further hydrogen bonds mediate the characteristic L-shaped molecular structure. tRNAs have two regions of fundamental functional importance: the anti-codon, which is responsible for specific mRNA codon recognition, and the 3' end, to which the tRNAs corresponding amino acid is attached (by aminoacyl-tRNA synthetases). tRNAs cope with the degeneracy of the genetic code in two manners: having more than one tRNA (with a specific anti-codon) for a particular amino acid; and 'wobble' base-pairing, i.e. permitting non-standard base-pairing at the 3rd anti-codon position.
Source: RNAcentral